This 633-nucleotide long non-coding RNA is filed under the name Mytilus galloprovincialis (Mediterranean mussel). Lineage: Eukaryota; Metazoa; Mollusca; Bivalvia; Mytilida; Mytilidae. The record is from RNAcentral.
AUAUCAAAGAACCCCAUAUAUUCAAUUUUUGUUGAAAUCAAACAAAGUUUAAUUUUGGACCCCAAUUUGGACCAACUUAAAAACUGGGCCCAUAAUCAACCAGAUGCUCUGCAGGGCACAGCUUUAUACGACCGCAGAGGUUGAACCCUGAACGGUUGGGGCAAGUAUGGACACAACAUUCAAGCUGGAUACAGCUCUAAAUUUGGAUUGUGAUUAAAUAGUUGACACAGCAUAGGUUUCUGACACAGAAUGAAUGUGGUCUAAUGAACUUAAAAAUUUUUUUUUGCCUUUGAGCAAUUCACUUUGCUGUUGAAUAUAAAUCCUCUCAAAAAAAUGUUUGAAGAAAUUUUCUUUUUAUUUAUGAAAUCUGAAAUGAGAAAUAUUUAACCCCCAACCCCCCAUUUUUUUUUCACAUCCCCCUUUCCCUUUUUCCAAAACUGAUCUCAAUUCAAAUUUCUAAUGGAGUUUGCAACAAUAACUACUCAUUUAAAUACAUCAUAAAAUAUUAAAAUGUAACAAAAGGUGCUUGUUAUCACUGAAUGGUAAAGAUUGUUUUAAUUUAUCAGUUGGUAGUAAAAGUGAAUAUACAUUGUAUAUUGUAUAAAACAAUGAUUUAAGUUGACUCAACUACUA